This 1661-nucleotide long non-coding RNA is filed under the name Dermacentor andersoni. Its description in RNAcentral is "uncharacterized LOC126524679". The record is from RNAcentral. Lineage: Eukaryota; Metazoa; Arthropoda; Arachnida; Ixodida; Ixodidae.
AUUGUUUUCAGACAUUUUUCUUUAAGAUGUUUUAUGUGUGGGAUGAAAGUGAGUCUAUUGUCAAGUAUAACACCUAGAAAUUUGUGUUCUUUGUUUACAGGUAUCUGUUGUCCACACAGUUCUAAGCAAGGAUCCGGAACCAGGCCUCUCUUUCUUGUAUACAGAACACAAGAACUCUUAAAGGAUUGCGAGUAAUGGUUGGCACUUGACACGCUCUCAAAGUGCUCCCCAAGUGAGUCCGCCUGAUCUUGUAGGGUAUCGCCUUCUGUGUUUACCAAAGGGAGUGCAUGUGCUUGUCGCCCUCUUAUCCUAUUGACCCUGUUCCAGGCUUUCGCCUCAUCUCUGAACGAGUUAAUACUCGAUAGAAACUUCUGCCAACUUUCUCGUCUGGCCUGUCGGCGGGUUCGCCUGCCUUCGGAUUUUACUUUUUUAAAGUUGACUAGAUUCUCUGCAGUGGGAGAAGCGCGUAGCAACCCCCACGCCCUGUUCUGUUGUUUACGAGCGAUCCUACAAUCGUCGUUCCACCAUGGGACACGUCGUUUGCAGGCCAAGCCUUUUACUUCUGAUAUGCAUUUAAAUGCGACAUCUAUUAUGAAUGCUGUAAAAAACUCGACUGCAGCGUCAAUUCCUAACGAAGACAGGUCAGCCCAUGAGAUACUAGAUAGAGAUCGAAAUUUCUCCCAAUCAGCUGUCUCAAUCUUCCACCUAGGAGCGUAUGGUGGAUAUUCGUUUUCUUUAUAUGAUCUUAGCAGUAUAGGGAAGUGGUCGCUACCGUAAGGGUUGUCGGUAACUUCCCAUUCAAGUUCAGGCAGUACAGACGGGGAGACUAUACUAAGAUCUAUUGACGAGAGGGAUCGGUUUGCAAGAGAGUAAUAUGUGGGUUCUUUCUUAUUGAGAAGGCACGCUCCAGAAGAAAAAAGGAACUGUUCAACAAGGCGACCUCGCGCAUCUAUACGAGAGUCGCCCCACAGGGAGCUGUGCGCAUUGAAAUCGCCAAGAAGAGCAUAAGGUUCUGGCAAUUGAUCGAUCAAGGAGUGAAAUUCAUGUUUGUUCAGUUGGUAAUGCGGGGGUAUGUAAAGGGAGCAAAUGGUGAUGAGUUUGUUUAGUAGGACAACUCGAACCGCCACUGCUUCAAGGGGCGUUUGUAGCUGUAGAGGUUGACAGGCAAUACUUCUAUGAGUAAGAAUCGCAACACCACCCGAUGAUGCGACGGCAUCAUCGCGAUCUUUGCGAAACGUAACAUACGUACGGAGAAAGUUUGUGUGUUUAGAUUUUAAGUGUGUUUGCUGUAAACACAGCACUUUUGGAUUAUGUUUGUGGAUGAGUUCUUGCAAAUCAUCAAGGUUUCUAAGGAGACCUCUGAUGUUCCAUUGAAUGAUUUGUGUAUCCAUGUUUAAGGUAAAUUGGUGCUGUGUUUACGGAAACGGAGUGGAUGCCUUAUAUUACAGAGCCCUUUCGAGGCCCUGUAAUAGGUGUUUUGUUCUUUUUGAAGCGUUCGAGCGAUUCUCGACGCUCCUUAGGCGUUUGGUGCGCCUUGGGGACAGGUGUAGUGUCCAUUGCCUCGUGUGAGGCGCCGGACAAGCGCUCUUGCGAGCGAGAGGUUUUCAGAGGGAGUCCCGCCUUGGAGGGCAAGACCCCUGCGCCCACCAGCCCGGAGGUCG